AAAGAACUGGAAAUAAAACUCAAGAGAGCUACAAAAGUUAUUUAGAGAUGUUACCCCUUCUUUCCAUUUGCUUCUCUGAGUCCUAAAUGAAAACAUACAGCUUUAAUGAAUUUGUUCUUCAGGGAAAAUGCUCAUGAAUACUGCUGAAAGUGUUGCAUGAGAAAAGCCUGCACAAGCAGGUCAAAAAACUGAGGAGUUUGAUUGUGUUUCAGAGAAGGGAGAAGAGUCAGAAGGAAGAAAAUCUUUGAUCCCCUACUCAAUAUGGAAGAGGAUUUAGUUGGAUUUUCUUCUAAUCGCUGUCUCUUAAUAUCUACAGUCUUCCUCCAUAAGGCUUCAGGAUUGCCAAAUCAUCCAGAUUGGCGGGGACCUUGGGAGGUCCCUAGUGUAACUUCUUGCUAAAAGCAGGAUCAGCAGAGUCUAGACCAGUUUGCUUAAGGCCUUGUCCAAGGAAGAUGAGUCCAUAACUUCUCUGGGCAAGCCUCUUCCAGUGUUUAUUCAUCCUCACAGGGAAGAUUAUUUUCUUUUAUAUCCAGCAUGAACCUUGCUUGUUUCAGUACAUGACCGCUGUCUCCCAUUCCUCUGCCCAGCACCUCCAUAAGGAUCCUGGCUUCACCUGCUCAGUAACCUCCUCGUAGGUAUGGGAAGGGGCUGUUAGGUCUCCUCAAAAUCCCCUCUUCAUCACGACGAACAAGCCCAGCUUCCUCAGCCUUCUCUCAUAGGGCUAGUGCUCCAGCUCCCAAACAUGGUGGCUCUCCAGUGGUCUUGCUCUGGCUUUGGGACACCCAAACCUGGGCAUAAUAUUCUAUUAUUGUUAUUUAUUAUUUUAGAUCACAUUUUGAAGAAUUAAUGAAUUAAGUGUAUUUUAAGAAUUUAAAGAAGGUGAAGAUUGACUCAGAAAUAGAGUUGGAAGCUGGGUCAUAUAUAUAUUUCUUUUUGAAGUUUGGAUGUAAAGCUUGUGAGGAUUACUGAUUUCUUUCACUGAAAAUAAAGAUCCAUCUCUUCUACUGCA
Molecule: long non-coding RNA, 1009 nt
Filed under: Athene cunicularia (burrowing owl)
Lineage: Eukaryota; Metazoa; Chordata; Aves; Strigiformes; Strigidae
Description: lncRNA (ENSACUG00000012746.1)
Source: RNAcentral